AAAUUGAAGAGUUUGAUCAUGGCUCAGAUUGAACGCUGGCGGCAGGCCUAACACAUGCAAGUCGAGCGGAAACGAGUUAUCUGAACCUUCGGGGAACGAUAGCGGCGUCGAGCGGCGGACGGGUGAGUAAUGCCUAGGAAAUUGCCCUGAUGUGGGGGAUAACCAUUGGAAACGAUGGCUAAUACCGCAUGAUGCCUACGGGCCAAAGAGGGGGACCUUCGGGCCUCUCGCGUCAGGAUAUGCCUAGGUGGGAUUAGCUAGUUGGUGAGGUAAGGGCUCACCAAGGCGACGAUCCCUAGCUGGUCUGAGAGGAUGAUCAGCCACACUGGAACUGAGACACGGUCCAGACUCCUACGGGAGGCAGCAGUGGGGAAUAUUGCACAAUGGGCGCAAGCCUGAUGCAGCCAUGCCGCGUGUGUGAAGAAGGCCUUCGGGUUGUAAAGCACUUUCAGUCGUGAGGAAGGUGGUAGUGUUAAUAGCACUAU
Molecule: ribosomal RNA, 485 nt
Filed under: Vibrio parahaemolyticus
Lineage: Bacteria; Pseudomonadati; Pseudomonadota; Gammaproteobacteria; Vibrionales; Vibrionaceae
Description: bacterial SSU rRNA
Rfam family: Bacterial small subunit ribosomal RNA
Source: RNAcentral